AGCCAGACUCCUACGGGAGGCAGCAGUGGGGAAUAUUGGGCAAUGGGCGCAAGCCUGACCCAGCAAUGCCGCGUGAAGGAAGAAGGCUUUCGGGUUGUAAACUUCUUUGACAGGGGAAGAGCAGAAGACGGUACCCUGAAAACAAGCCACGGCUAACUACGUGCCAGCAGCCGCGGUAAUACGUAGGUAACAAGCGUUGUCCGGAUUUACUGGGUGUAAAGGGCGCGUAGGCGGACUGUCAAGUCAGUCGUGAAAUACCGAAGCUUAACUUCGGGGCUGCGAUUGAAACUGACAGCCUUGAGUAUCGGAGAGGAAAGCGGAAUUCCUAGUGUAGCGGUGAAAUGCGUAGAUAUUAGGAGGAACACCAGUGGCGAAGGCGGCUUUCUGGACGACAACUGACGCUGAGGCGCGAAAGUGUGGGGAGCAAACAGGAUUAGAUACCCUGGUA
RNAcentral lists this ribosomal RNA (448 nucleotides) under uncultured bacterium. RNAcentral's name for it is "bacterial SSU rRNA". It matches the Rfam family "Bacterial small subunit ribosomal RNA", at positions 329 to 792 of the family's 1533-position model. The record is from RNAcentral.